AGUGAACGCUGGCGGUAGGCCUAACACAUGCAAGUCGAACGGCGGCACAGUAAGAGUUUGCUCUCACGGGUGGCGAGUGGCGGAUGGGUAAGGAAUACAUCGGCAUCUACUUUUUCGUGGGGGAUAACUUAGGGAAACUUACGCUACUACCGCAUACGACCAACCGGUGGAAGCAGGGGAUCUUCGGGCCUUGGGCUAUUGAAUGAGCCGAUGUCGGAUUAGCUAGUUGGCUGGGUAAAGGCCCACCCAGGCGACGAUCCGUAACUGGUCUGAGUGGCUGAUCAGCCACACUGGAACUGAGACACGGUCCAGACUCCUACGGGAGGCGGAAGUGGGGAAUAUUGGACAAUGGGCGCAAUCCUGAUCCAGCCAUACCGCGUGGGUGAAGAAGGCCUUCGGGUUGUAAAGCCCUUUUGUUGGGAAAGAAAAGCAGCAGGUUAAUACCCCGCUGUUCUGACGGUACCCAAAUAAUAAGCACCGGCUAACUUCGUG
Molecule: ribosomal RNA, 492 nt
Filed under: uncultured bacterium
Lineage: Bacteria
Description: partial 16S ribosomal RNA
Rfam family: Bacterial small subunit ribosomal RNA
Source: RNAcentral